CCUGUUCCCUAAAUGUCUCUGCAAGGUCCUGACAAAGAGGAUUCCAUCAAAGCAUUUCCUGGAAGAAAGAAACCAUGGCGUGAAUUCUCCACAAGUGUUGACAAUUCUGUAGAAGAGGGCUAAACGUGUUUUUGGACUUCAAUGGAACCAAACUGCGUCACCUGAGAGCGGAGGAGGUGAGAGACCGCCCCUUAUGGAACAAUAACAAAAAAUCACCUCCCCAGUGGCUUAAAAGGAGAGCACACAUACAGGCAGACAAUAUUGCAAGACUUUUAUUCUCUCUCACACACAUUCACAGAUAAAGUUUAGGCAUCGAAUAGUUGGUUCCUGGGCCUUAAACCUCCCAACUUCCUGAUCCAUGCUCCAAAGGACAGAUCUAGGAUCAGCUCACUCUCGUCAAAUCCAAACCAGGACCUUAAUAAUCCACAAAGGGGAAAACGGACCUGAGACCAUCAUUUAAACCCCACGUCUUCCUGCCCAGACACUGCUCUCCAUCCAGAGUUCCUCCUGUGCUCCAGCUGUCCAUCCGUCUAUCCACACCCCAGCCAACCAGCCAUGGGUCUGAUGAGUGAAGACAUGAAUUGUUGCGUCUGCUUCCAACCCUACUCUCGCAGGGAGAAAAUCCCCCGGGUGCUCCACUGCGAACACACCUUCUGUGGGCCGUGCUUGGAGACAAUCUCCAGGCUCCAGAGUGGCCUCCUGACCGCGUGCUGCCCUCUGUGUCGCUGGAUCACCUGUAGCCAGGUCAGCCUACCCUUUUCUGGUUCUCUGGUUGUCAACACUGAGAUCUGGGACCAGAUAGCAGACAGACAGGAGGAAGAGGAGGAGAUGGAGGCGUGGAUACCAAAUAACAGACAGACACAGACCUCCACACAGUACAAAUGCUCUUCAUUGGGGCAUUCUGGUGUGAGGAUCAAGCACCAGAGUUUCUGGAGGAGAAUGAGGCACAAUGGUCAGAGAGCACUAAAAGAAGGGAAGAAAUUAAGGUCUUGGUUGUGUUUUGAUAGAUGAUGUCACCGUAGUAGUUUAGGACAGGAAGCAGCAGUUGGGAUACCAAGGACUUUCUUUUUUAGUAUUUCUUUUUUAUAUUUUAUACAAUAUACUGUCUACAAUCUUUAUAAUUAAAACAAAUAUGUAACCUUUAUUUGAACAUGUAUUUAUUUUGAGACCUAGUUUCUCUUUUUCAAAAGAACCCUGUAAUAUGAUUGUCCCUUUAUGUCUGAAGCGCAUAUUUUUUGUACUCAAGUGAUAUUUAUUGCUAUCAUUGUAAAAUAAAUUAAUCUGCUUUAAAAUAACU
This 1297-nucleotide long non-coding RNA is filed under the name Oncorhynchus kisutch (coho salmon). RNAcentral describes it as "lncRNA (ENSOKIG00005013177.1)". Lineage: Eukaryota; Metazoa; Chordata; Actinopteri; Salmoniformes; Salmonidae. The record is from RNAcentral.